GGAACCGGGCUCCCUGCCAGCUCGGGCGACAGGCUGACGGUCCUCCUGCCGGGAUGCUAAUCCAGAAGGGAGAGGAAAGAAGAAGACUCCUGCCAUUUCAGUUAAGUGGAAUUAUUGGUUGUAAGAUCCAAGCUGAUUUCAGACAUAUUAAAACAUGAAUAAAACUUUGUCAUCGAAUCAGUAAUACAGGUGUGGCAGUGUGGCAUGCGGCAUUCAAGAUGGGGAACAACUUUGCUGAGUCCUUGCUGUCUAUUCCACCAAAGCAGCAACGUGUCCCGUUCAGCUCAUAUCCAGGAAAAGAUCCACACUGAAGUAACAUCUGUGACAAAUGAAGUCACGAGGUCUUCCAUGUACUGCUCUUUCCUUGUCUCAAGCACAUUCAUGUUAGAGGACAAAACCUCCCUAGAAGCAGCCAACCGAAAGGGUU
Molecule: non-coding RNA, 427 nt
Organism: Heterocephalus glaber (naked mole-rat)
Lineage: Eukaryota; Metazoa; Chordata; Mammalia; Rodentia; Bathyergidae
Source: RefSeq, a predicted model, not a curated record